Molecule: transfer RNA, 72 nt
Filed under: Toxocara canis (dog roundworm)
Lineage: Eukaryota; Metazoa; Nematoda; Chromadorea; Rhabditida; Toxocaridae
Rfam family: tRNA
About the family: Transfer RNA (tRNA) molecules are approximately 80 nucleotides in length. Their secondary structure includes four short double-helical elements and three loops (D, anti-codon, and T loops). Further hydrogen bonds mediate the characteristic L-shaped molecular structure. tRNAs have two regions of fundamental functional importance: the anti-codon, which is responsible for specific mRNA codon recognition, and the 3' end, to which the tRNAs corresponding amino acid is attached (by aminoacyl-tRNA synthetases). tRNAs cope with the degeneracy of the genetic code in two manners: having more than one tRNA (with a specific anti-codon) for a particular amino acid; and 'wobble' base-pairing, i.e. permitting non-standard base-pairing at the 3rd anti-codon position.
Source: Rfam by way of RNAcentral
GCGUCUGAGGUGUAAUGGUUAGCAUGGUUGCCUUCCAAGCAAUGAACAGGAGUUCGAUUCCCCUCAGACGCA